AGUGUACUUAUCUUGUCUUUUUUCUUCCUGUAAAGAUUUUCCUUGUGUGCAGUCUUGAUACUUCCCAUCAUCCUACAGAGACAAAGCAUGGGCCAGCACUGACCAUAUUACAAUCCCGAGGGGAUAGAUCCCUACAGUAUAAGGAUGCAAAUUAAAAGGCAAACAGAAGGAGUGUUUGGCUUGGAUUAGUAAGAAGAGAAAAAAAAAGAUGCAGCUUCCACAGUCACAACACCCUAGAAAUGUUUGGGUACCAAUGUAGCUU
This is a long non-coding RNA of Nomascus leucogenys (northern white-cheeked gibbon), 262 nucleotides long. RefSeq lists it as uncharacterized. The transcript is spliced from 2 exons. Lineage: Eukaryota; Metazoa; Chordata; Mammalia; Primates; Hylobatidae. The record is from RefSeq and is a predicted model, not a curated record.